GGCCUGGUUGAAUGGUUUAGACGCAAGUUUAACACUGUUCUUACUGGGUCUUUCCUUCUAGGGAACUAGUGUGCUAUUUAUUUAGUGCGCUAGGGAUCUAGGACUGUUACUGUGAAAAAAUUAGAGUGUUCAAAACAGGCUUAUGCUUGAAUACAUUAGCAUGGAAUAACGGAAUAGGACUUUGUUUCUAUUUUGUUGGUUUACAGGAACAAAGUA
Molecule: ribosomal RNA, 216 nt
Filed under: uncultured fungus
Lineage: Eukaryota; Fungi
Description: partial small subunit ribosomal RNA
Rfam family: Eukaryotic small subunit ribosomal RNA (bases 49-216)
Source: RNAcentral